Molecule: ribosomal RNA, 253 nt
Filed under: uncultured bacterium
Lineage: Bacteria
Description: partial 16S ribosomal RNA
Rfam family: Bacterial small subunit ribosomal RNA
Source: RNAcentral
UACAGAGGUCCCAAGCGUUACUGAGAAUCACUGGGUUUAAAGGGUGCGUAGGUGGUCCGUUAAGUCAGUUGUGAAAUCCCCAGGCUUAACCUGGGAACUGCAUUCGAGACUGCAUUGCUAGAGUAUGGGAGAGGGAAGUGGAAUUUCCGGUGUAGCGGUGAAAUGCGUAGAUAUCGGAAGGAACAUCAGUGGCGAAAGCGACUUCCUGGACCAAUACUGACGCUCAUGUGCGAAAGCGUGGGGAGCAAACAGG